GCAUUUCUGCACAAGGCCGUGCCAAAGCUCAGGCUGUGGUGAAAGGAGAGAUACCAAAAAUAUAUCGAGAGGUGCACCGUUGGGAAAUUAAGAAAGGAGUACGUCCUGCGUGAGUCAAACAGUGCGGCAUUUGAUUAGCCACGUGCAGCUGAGAGGAUCGCCUUCAAAGGGUUCAUCCACCUGCAGUGGAUUGGAGCCUCACGCAGGGAUCCCUGACAGAAAUCUUGGAGGAAGAGGGGCGAGGUGAUCACCAUGAUCCCUGCUGCCUGCAGACUGUUGCGGGCCGAGUUUACACGUCCCAGCGUGGUGCUGCAUAAAGAGACGGAGUUAGUGCCGAAUGGAAACCAGAAGCUGGAUAGCUGUAAGAAACCCUCGGGAAGAGAAGCACUGCCACCUCCCUUUUAUAAAAUGUGGCCUUUUUUAUAACGCAAAAGAUGAGAAGAUUGAACAACUUGGCCGAG
RNAcentral lists this long non-coding RNA (461 nucleotides) under Gallus gallus (chicken). The record is from RNAcentral. Lineage: Eukaryota; Metazoa; Chordata; Aves; Galliformes; Phasianidae.